RNAcentral lists this ribosomal RNA (513 nucleotides) under uncultured bacterium. RNAcentral's name for it is "bacterial SSU rRNA". It matches the Rfam family "Bacterial small subunit ribosomal RNA", at positions 791 to 1304 of the family's 1533-position model. The record is from RNAcentral.
UAGUCCACGCCGUAAACGAUGAGUGCUAGCUGUCGGGACAUUAGUCUCGGUGGCGCAGCUAACGCGGUAAGUUGUCCGCCUGGGGAGUACGGCCGCAAGGCUAAAACUCAAAUGGAAUUGACGGGGGCCCGCACAAGCGGUGGAGCAUGUUGUUUAAUUCGAUGCAACGCGAAGAACCUUACCACCCCUUGACAUCCUCAGAACUUGUUAGAAAUAACUUGGUGCCUUCGGGAACUGAGUGACAGGUGCUGCAUGGCUGUCGUCAGCUCGUGUCGUGAGAUGUUGGGUUAAGUCCCGUAACGAGCGCAACCCUUGUCCUUAUUUGCCAGCGAGUAAUGUCGGGAACUCUAAGGAGACUGCCGGUGACAAGCCGGAGGAAGGUGGGGAUGAGGUCAAGUCAUCAUGGCCCUUAUGGGUAGGGCUACACACGUGCUACAAUGGUCGGUACAGAGGGCAGCGAACCCGCGAGGGGGAGCCGAAUCCCACAAAACCGAUCGUAGUCCGGAUUGCAGU